CCUACGGGAGGCAGCAGUGAGGAAUUUUCCGCAAUGGGCGAAAGCCUGACGGAGCAAUACCGCGUGAGGGAUGAAGGAUUUUGGUCUGUAAACCUCUUUUCUCAAGAAAGAAGUUCUGACGGUACUUGAGGAAUAAGCAUCGGCUAACUCCGUGCCAGCAGCCGCGGUAAUACGGGGGAUGCAAGCGUUAUCCGGAAUGAUUGGGCGUAAAGCGCCUGUAGGUUGUUUAUUAAGUCCGUUGUUAAAGCCUAGGGCUUAACCCUAGAAAAGCAAUGGAAACUAGUAGACUAGAGUAUGGCAGGGGUAGAGGGAAUUUCUAGUGUAGCGGUGAAAUGCGUAGAUAUUAGAAAGAACACCGGUGGCGAAAGCGCUCUACUGGACCAUUACUGACACUCAGAGGCGAAAGCUAGGGUAGCAAAAGGGAUUAGAUACCCCUGUAGUCCUAGCCGUAAACGAUGGAUACUAGAUGUUGUGCAUUAUGUACAGUAUCGUAGCUAACGCGUUAAGUAUCCCGCCUGGGGAGUACGCUCGCAAGGGUGAACUUAAAUGAAUUGACGG
This 558-nucleotide ribosomal RNA is filed under the name uncultured bacterium. Its description in RNAcentral is "bacterial SSU rRNA". It matches the Rfam family "Bacterial small subunit ribosomal RNA", at positions 338 to 916 of the family's 1533-position model. The record is from RNAcentral.